Molecule: ribosomal RNA, 793 nt
Filed under: uncultured archaeon
Lineage: Archaea
Description: bacterial SSU rRNA
Rfam family: Archaeal small subunit ribosomal RNA
Source: RNAcentral
ACUGCUCAGUAACACGUGGACAACCUGCCCUUAGGACGGGGAUAAACCCGGGAAACUGGGUAUAAUACCCGAUAGGUCUCGAUUGCUGGAAUGCAUCGAGAUUUAAAGCUCCGGCGCCUAAGGAUGGGUCUGCGGCCUAUCAGGUAGUAGUGGGUGUAGCGUACCUACUAGCCUACGACGGGUACGGGUUGUGAGAGCAAGAGCCCGGAGAUGGAUUCUGAGACACGAAUCCAGGCCCUACGGGGUGCAGCAGGCGCGAAAACUUUACAAUGCUGGCAACAGCGAUAAGGGAACCUCGAGUGCCAGGUUACAAAUCUGGCUGUCGAGAUGCCUAAAAAGCAUUUCAUAGCAAGGGCCGGGCAAGACCGGUGCCAGCCGCCGCGGUAACACCGGCGGCUCGAGUGGUAACCGUUAUUAUUGGGUCUAAAGGGUCUGUAGCCGACCGGAUAAGUCUCUUGAGAAAUCUGGCAGCUUAACUGUCAGGCCUUCAGGAGAUACUGUCUGGCUCGAGGCCGGGAGAGGUGAGAGGUACUUCAGGGGUAGGGGUGAAAUCUUGUAAUCCUUGAAGGACCACCAGUGGCGAAGGCGUCUCACCAGAACGGACCUGACGGCAAGGGACGAAAGCUAGGGGCACGAACCGGAUUAGAUACCCGGGUAGUCCUAGCCGUAAACGAUACUCGCUAGGCGUCGGCCACGGUGCGACCGUUGUCGGUGCCGUAGGGAAGCCGUGAAGCGAGCCACCUGGGAAGUACGGCCGCAAGGCUGAAACUUAAAGGAAUUGGCGGGGGAGCAC